This 759-nucleotide ribosomal RNA is filed under the name uncultured Neocallimastigales. RNAcentral describes it as "partial large subunit ribosomal RNA". It matches the Rfam family "Eukaryotic large subunit ribosomal RNA", at positions 19 to 629 of the family's 3401-position model. The record is from RNAcentral. Lineage: Eukaryota; Fungi; Neocallimastigomycota; Neocallimastigomycetes; Neocallimastigales.
CCGAGCACGCGCGUGUGGCAUAUCAAUAAGCGGAGGAAAAGAAACUAACAAGGAUUCCCUUAGUAACGGCGAGUGAAGCGGGAAGAGCUCAAAUUUGAAAUCUUCAAGGUUCUACCUUGACGAAUUGUAGUUUAUAGAAGUGUUUUCUGUUAGUGGAGUGGCAAAAGUUCUUUGGAAUAGGACAUCAUAGAGGGUGAGAAUCCCGUAUUUGGUCAUUCCUCCUAGCGUUGUGAUACACUUUCAACGAGUCGGAUUGUUUGGGAAUGCAGUCCAAAAUGGGUGGUAAAUUUCAUCUAAAGCUAAAUAUUGGCGAGAGACCGAUAGCGAACAAGUACCGUGAGGGAGAGAUGAAAAGAACUUUGAAAAGAGAGUUAAACAGUACGUGAAAUUGUCAAAAGGGAAGCGUUUGACACCAGUGUUGUUUUUCCGAAAAUCAAUUACGAAUGUUUUGUUUUUGAGGAGUUAUAACUUCAUCGGCUUGCUCCUUUCUUUAUGAAACUUUCUUAAUGCACUUUUCGGUUAACAAGUCAACAUCAAUUUCUUUUGUUGUAAAAGGGUAUGAGGAAGGUGGCUUUCACUUCGGUGAAAGUGUUUAUAGCCUUUGGCUUCUACAAUCGGAGAGAUUGAGGUCUGCAGCGUAGAUCCUUCGGGGUUAGAUACGUAGAUGCUAAGUUAUAGUUUUUUAUAGACAACUUGUUGACUAUGAUUGAUCAUGUAGCUUACUCGUUUACGCUAUUUUACCUACGCUUAGGAUGUUGA